UGGGUGGAUGAGUGGCGAACGGGUGAGUAACACGUGAGUAACCUGCCCCCUUCUUUGGGAUAACGCCCGGAAACGGGUGCUAAUACUGGAUAUUCACUGGCCUUCGCAUGGGGGUUGGUGGAAAGGUUUUUUCUGGUGGGGGAUGGGCUCGCGGCCUAUCAGCUUGUUGGUGGGGUGAUGGCCUACCAAGGCUUUGACGGGUAGCCGGCCUGAGAGGGUGACCGGUCACAUUGGGACUGAGAUACGGCCCAG
Molecule: ribosomal RNA, 252 nt
Filed under: uncultured bacterium
Lineage: Bacteria
Description: partial 16S ribosomal RNA
Rfam family: Bacterial small subunit ribosomal RNA
Source: RNAcentral